RNAcentral lists this ribosomal RNA (253 nucleotides) under uncultured bacterium. RNAcentral's name for it is "partial 16S ribosomal RNA". It matches the Rfam family "Bacterial small subunit ribosomal RNA", at positions 524 to 776 of the family's 1533-position model. The record is from RNAcentral.
UACGUAGGGCGCAAGCGUUGUCCGGAAUUACUGGGCGUAAAGGGCUCGUAGGUGGCCAACUAAGUCAUACGUGAAAUCCCUCAGCUUAACUGGGGAACUGCGUCUGAUACUGGAUGGCUUGAGUUUGGGAGAGGGAUGCGGAAUUCCAGGUGUAGCGGUGAAAUGCGUAGAUAUCUGGAGGAACACCGGUGGCGAAGGCGGCAUCCUGGACCAAUACUGACACUGAGGAGCGAAAGCGUGGGGAGCAAACAGG